GAUGAACGCUAGCGGCAGGCCUAAUACAUGCAAGUCGAACGGUAACAUGAGUAGCAAUACUUGAUGACGAGUGGCGCACGGGUGCGUAACGCGUAUGCAAUCUACUUUUAACUGGUGAAUAGCCCGAAGAAAUUCGGAUUAAUACACCAUAGUAUAUUUGAAUGGCAUCAUUUAAAGAUUAAAACUCCGGUGGUUAAAGCUGAGCAUGCGUGACAUUCGCUAGUUGGGGAGGUGAUGGCUCACCAAGGGUACGAUGUCUAGGGGAUCUGAGAGGAUUAACCCCCACACUGGUACUGAGACACGGACCAGACUCCUACGGGAGGCAGCAGUAAGGAAUAUUGGACAAUGGUCGAAAGACUGAUCCAGCCAUGCCGCGUGAAGGAUGACGGCCCUAUGGGUUGUAAACUUCUUUUGUAUGGGAAAAAACCCUUCUACGUGUAGAAGGCUGAUGGUACCAUAAGAAUAAGGAUCGGCUAACUCCGUGCCAGCAGCCGCGGUAA
RNAcentral lists this ribosomal RNA (500 nucleotides) under uncultured bacterium. RNAcentral's name for it is "partial 16S ribosomal RNA". It matches the Rfam family "Bacterial small subunit ribosomal RNA", at positions 28 to 523 of the family's 1533-position model. The record is from RNAcentral.